Callorhinus ursinus (northern fur seal) is the source of this 948-nucleotide non-coding RNA. The record is from RefSeq and is a predicted model, not a curated record. Lineage: Eukaryota; Metazoa; Chordata; Mammalia; Carnivora; Otariidae.
AUGUCCCCUUAUACUAUCGCUUCUUUUCCGAGAGAACACCAAACGGCGGAUGACGCCGGUGCUGCGGAAGGGCCCGGAGGGGCCGGAGGGCGCCGCGGCGGCUUCCGCGGAGGCUUCGGCAGCGGCAUCCGGGGCCGCGGUCGCGGCCGUGGUCGGGGCAGGGGUCGAGGCCGCGGAGCUCAUGGAGGCAAGGCCGAGGACAAGGAGUGGAUCCCCGUCACCAAGCUGGGCCGCCUGGUCAAGGACAUGAAGAUCAAGUCUCUAGAGGAGAUCUAUCUUUUCUCUCUGCCUAUCAAGGAAUCUGAGAUCAUUGAUUUCUUUCUGGGAGCAUCCCUCAAGGAUGAGAUUCUGAAAAUCAUGCCUGUGCAAAAGCAGACCCGUGCUGGCCAGCGGACCAGGUUCAAGGCGUUUGUUGCCAUCGGAGAUUACAACGGACAUGUCGGCCUGGGUGUUAAGUGCUCCAAGGAGGUCGCCACUGCCAUCCGUGGGGCCAUCAUCCUAGCCAAGCUUUCCAUCGUCCCCGUGAGGCGAGGCUACUGGGGGAACAAGAUCGGCAAGCCUCACACUGUCCCAUGCAAGGUGACUGGCCGCUGUGGCUCUGUGCUGGUGCGUCUCAUCCCCGCCCCCAGAGGCACUGGCAUUGUUUCAGCCCCUGUGCCCAAGAAGCUACUGAUGAUGGCCGGUAUCGACGACUGCUACACUUCAGCCAGAGGCUGCACUGCCACGCUGGGGAACUUCGCUAAGGCUACUUUUGAUGCCAUUUCCAAGACUUACCGCUAUCUCACCCCUGACCUCUGGAAGGAGACAGUGUUCCCCAAGUCUCCAUAUCAGGAAUUCACUGAUCAUCUUGUGAAGACCCACACCAGAGUCUCUGUGCAGAGGACCCAGGCUCCAGCUGUGGCCACCACCUAGUUUUAUACAAGAAAAAUAAAGUGAACUAAAACUUGA